RNAcentral lists this ribosomal RNA (843 nucleotides) under Triticum aestivum (bread wheat). Its description in RNAcentral is "partial small subunit ribosomal RNA". The record is from RNAcentral. Lineage: Eukaryota; Viridiplantae; Streptophyta; Magnoliopsida; Poales; Poaceae.
AUGCAGCUCGGAAGCGGCACAGACGCCCUCUUCUGGGAGGACCGAUGGAUCGGCGGGCGGUCCGUCCGCGAGAUCGCCCCGCUCCUAUACGCGUGCAUCCCCAAACGCCGUCGCAAACUCCGGACUGUUGCGGAUGGGUUGGCGGACAAUCGUUGGGCGCGAGAUAUCCAGGGCACGGUUGGCAUCCACGAGAUCGGGCAAUGCCUCCAGCUUUGGCACAGGAUCGCGGGCACGACCCUCUCUGCCGAGCCCGAUUGCCUCAUCUGGAGAUGGAGCGCGAACGGCGUCUACUCGGCCAAGUCGGCCUACACGGCCACUUUCGCCGGCUCCACGACCUGCGCCGCCUGGAAGCUCACCUGGAAACACUGGGCACCGCCGCGCAUCCGCUUCUUCCACUGGCUCGCCCACCUCGACAGAUGUUGGACCGCCGACAGGCUUGCUCGCCGUGGGCUGCAACACCCCGCACGGUGCCCCCUAUGCGACCAGGCGCCUGAAACCAUGCACCAUCUCAUCCUCGCAUGCCCCUUGGCCUGGCAAACCUGGCACGAGACGCUAAGCUGGCUGCGGAUCCCGUGCACCCCACCUGACGACGAGCCUUCGCUUCUAGACUGGUGGCAAUCGGCGCGACACUCCACCCCUGCGCCCAUGCGCAAAGGCCUCGGUAUCGUGACCCUCCUCGUCCCAUGGAUGAUAUGGAAACACCGCAAUGACUGCAUCUUCAACGGAGCGCGCCCAUCUGUGAACACCAUCGUAGCGAAGAUCAAGGAAGAAGCUGCCCUUUGGGCAAAUGCGGACGCGCUAGGGCUCAAAGCCAUUACCCCCCAGACUUGGGAUGUCCACUAG